UACAGAGGUCUCGAGCGUUAGGCGGAAUCACUGGGCUUAAAGCGUGUGUAGGCGGAUUGCUAAGUACCUUGUGAAAUCCCACGGCUUAACCGUGGAACUGCUUGGUAUACUGGCUGUCUUGAGCCACUUAGGGGCAACCGGAACAAACGGUGGAGCGGUGAAAUGCGUAGAUAUCGUUUGGAACGCCAAUGGUGAAAAUAGGUUGCUGGGAGUGUGCUGACGCUGAGACACGAAAGCCAGGGGAGCAAACGGG
This 253-nucleotide ribosomal RNA is filed under the name uncultured bacterium. RNAcentral describes it as "partial 16S ribosomal RNA". It matches the Rfam family "Bacterial small subunit ribosomal RNA", at positions 524 to 776 of the family's 1533-position model. The record is from RNAcentral.